AGACAGAGGGUGCAAACGUUGUUCGGAAUUACUGGGCGUAAAGCGUGUGUAGGCGGUCUUGUAAGUCGGAUGUGAAAGCCCCGGGCUCAACCCGGGAAGUGCACUCGAUACUGCGAGACUUGAGUAUCGGAGAGGUUGGUGGAAUUCUCGGUGUAGAGGUGAAAUUCGUAGAUAUCGAGAGGAACACCGGUGGCGAAAGCGGCCAACUGGACGAAUACUGACGCUGAGACACGAAAGCGUGGGGAGC
Molecule: ribosomal RNA, 247 nt
Filed under: uncultured bacterium
Lineage: Bacteria
Description: partial 16S ribosomal RNA
Rfam family: Bacterial small subunit ribosomal RNA
Source: RNAcentral